GGGGUUUUAGCUUAAUUAAAAGUAUUUGAGUUGCAUUCAGAAGCUGCAGGCUGAUUUCCUGCAAGCCCCA
This 70-nucleotide transfer RNA is filed under the name Phrynobatrachus latifrons (Ahl's river frog). RNAcentral describes it as "tRNA-Ala". It matches the Rfam family "tRNA". Rfam says of the family: Transfer RNA (tRNA) molecules are approximately 80 nucleotides in length. Their secondary structure includes four short double-helical elements and three loops (D, anti-codon, and T loops). The record is from RNAcentral. Lineage: Eukaryota; Metazoa; Chordata; Amphibia; Anura; Phrynobatrachidae.